AUACGGAGGAUGCGAGCGUUAUCCGGAUUUAUUGGGUUUAAAGGGUGCGUAGGCGGAGCAUCAAGUCAGCGGUGAAAGUUCGUGGCUCAACCAUGAAAUUGCCGUUGAAACUGUUGUUCUUGAGUGUAGAUGAGGUGGGUGGAAUUCGUGGUGUAGCGGUGAAAUGCUUAGAUAUCACGAAGAACUCCAAUUGCGUAGGCAGCUCACUGGGCUACAACUGACGCUGAGGCACGAAGGUGCGGGGAUC
This 247-nucleotide ribosomal RNA is filed under the name uncultured bacterium. RNAcentral describes it as "partial 16S ribosomal RNA". It matches the Rfam family "Bacterial small subunit ribosomal RNA", at positions 523 to 769 of the family's 1533-position model. The record is from RNAcentral.